Hippocampus zosterae (dwarf seahorse) is the source of this 1978-nucleotide long non-coding RNA. RefSeq lists it as uncharacterized. The record is from RefSeq and is a predicted model, not a curated record. Lineage: Eukaryota; Metazoa; Chordata; Actinopteri; Syngnathiformes; Syngnathidae. The transcript is spliced from 5 exons.
AGCAUUGUUCAAAUGUGCCGUUCGUUAAUUCAGCGUGCCCAAAAAAAAAAAAACAGUGCCAGAACGUGCUCGAGCCGCUUCUACUGGGGACACGGAGCAUCCAGAGUGUCACGCAGUACUGAUGGAAACAGUUCAAGCAUAAGCUGCUGCUUGGUUUAUAAGAGACUAGACUAGCGCAUAAAGGCCUUGACAAACAGAAAUAAAAAAUACGCUCUAUAUUUUCAGUGUGGUGACAUAUAUUCACAACAGGAAAUGAGGAAGAAGCUGCCAAGUAGUUGAGUCAGCAGUCCAACCAUAGACUCCUUUAUCUAGUCAUUGUUUGUCAACUGAUUUCCUCUUUUUCCGCUCAUACGAACAUGUUUCACAACUCACGUAAAACGUUCUGGCCUCCACAAAGAAAAAUAUACUUUCUUGUUAAAAAAAAAGUGAAUAAUUGUGGUGGUAAUUUGCAGUAGUGUGAUAUUAAUUGUGGCUUCAAACUCUCUUUUAGAUAAUCAGGGAGCCGAACAGGAAAUGACUCUGAUCCCCACCAUCCUGUUUGCAGAGCGAAAAGGAGGAUGAGAUGAUAAUGACGGCUGGUUCACUGGUUACCUGGCAACGCGACGAAAGGGUCUCCCCCCCACUUGCCAUCAUGCCUCAUGUGACACAGGGAUAAAACCAGUGAUGGCAAAGAGGAAAACUGAGAGAAACUAAGGGAAUGUGAGACAUUGCGACACAUUUGUGAUUUCCCUGGCUCCUCAGUACAAUAUGGCUCAGAGUGUCCAUCUACAAGUUGUAGAAUGAUCAAGUCACGUGACACCAAAGCCUCAAGUUCAGCUACUCACCAGACAGUCGCCAGGAGAAUAAAAGUCACUGACCCUCCAAGAUUCGUGAGGACAUCCAUUGACAUUACAAAUAUCACAGCAUCACAAGCCUCAAUGAAAUUAGCCUGUGUUGGGGACGUGAUACUGUUGUCAUGCAAAUGAGGCACUGUUCACACCGCCACCCACGACUGCAGGGCCGUUGCUGCGUAUGGCUUUUAUGAUAAUGAUGUCUCAGGGCACCGCCAUAUUCUAUUGAACCAAGUAUGAGCCUGAAGCUUUACCCAAGCCCCAACCAUAACCACAAAGUUCGACUUCAACCCAAACUGAACCCUAAUCCCAAACCCAAACGUAGCCCAAUCCCAUACACCUUACCCUCCACUUUAUCCGCAAUUUUAAGACCAACUGUAACAGGAACUCUAACCCCUAACCUUAACCCCAAUCAAUAUCCCAAAACCCCAUAAAGAAAAUAAAAUGCUGACUUUUAUUUUCACGAAGCAAGGCAGUCCUCUCCCACCAAGCAGCCAAAUUUUACGUGUCAAAUAGGAUCCAUGUACGUGGUGUAUGCAGUGGACACACUGCCAAACACAACUACAACAAUGACCACAUUCACAGAAAAAAAAAAAAUCUCGCGUUGUAAUCAUUUCCACUUGUGUGCAGUCAAACAUAGUGUCGACUGCAUGUCAAGGACUUAAUUACAUGCAACCGAAUCAGCAGAGAUCAUAGCUUGCCAUAAUCACCAAUGUUCUAAGCACAUUGACAUCUCAUUAGCGUGUCACCGAGUGUUCUCAUUGAAUUCAUGCACUAAUACUGUGCCUGAUUUUGUUUCGUGCUCCUCACUUACCCCUAAAUAGCCCCCCCUCCCAACCCCUGCAACCUCUGCAACCCUCACCACCGGAUGCUUCGCCACUGUCCGUCUCACCUCAUUACAGUCCAUUAUCAACAGGGAGAGCACAGAUGCAGAAUCUGGAAUGUCAACAAGCUGGAGAUACAUGACAGUGCGUGUGAAUGUGUUUGUGCAUGCAUGUGUUCGUGUGUGUGUGCACGCGUGUGUGUGUGUUUGUGUGCACACUGGCAAACUUAAUGAGCAGCAACACAUCGACAAAUCCCAUGGCCAGUCUGUCUGUGCUGCUUAAUGACAAAAUGUAUUCCCAGCUCGGCCUGGUGGCUAAUCUAAU